GUCAGGUAUUCCACCCAUCUACUUCUGGCUCGAUUUGGUGGAGGCCUGGUGGUUUAGGGAGGUUAUAGGCUACGAGGUUGAUGUUGUUCUUGGAAUAAGCAAUUCUAGUUUUACUAGAAUAUUUGAAUACUGUUUUUCCUUUAUUUGCAAUCUAGUACAUGUUAAAAUUCCUAAACAAGUAUAACAGUUAGAAGUUGUUUGAAGCUUAACAAAUUGUACAGGUGAACUAAAAACUUUGUUGUUUGAAAGAUAAUAAAUGAUUUAUGCAUGCAACCAAAUUCAUUGAACUUAAGGCAUGAAAAUGUUUUUGAAUUUUUAUCUUGGUGGGAAAGAGAACUCCGCCUAAGUAGUUUGUGGU
RNAcentral lists this unclassified non-coding RNA (358 nucleotides) under Hevea brasiliensis (rubber tree). Lineage: Eukaryota; Viridiplantae; Streptophyta; Magnoliopsida; Malpighiales; Euphorbiaceae. The record is from RNAcentral.